This 467-nucleotide ribosomal RNA is filed under the name uncultured bacterium. RNAcentral's name for it is "partial 16S ribosomal RNA". It matches the Rfam family "Bacterial small subunit ribosomal RNA", at positions 28 to 507 of the family's 1533-position model. The record is from RNAcentral.
GAUGAACGCUGGCGGCGUGCUUAACACAUGCAAGUCGAACGGAAAGGCCCAAGCUUGCUUGGGUACUCGAGUGGCGAACGGGUGAGUAACACGUGGGUGAUCUGCCCUGCACUUCGGGAUAAGCCUGGGAAACUGGGUCUAAUACCGGAUAGGACGAUGGUUUGGAUGCCAUUGUGGAAAGUUUUUUCGGUGUGGGAUGAGCUCGCGGCCUAUCAGCUUGUUGGUGGGGUAAUGGCCUACCAAGGCGUCGACGGGUAGCCGGCCUGAGAGGGUGUACGGCCACAUUGGGACUGAGAUACGGCCAGACUCCUACGGGAGGCAGCAGUGGGGAAUAUUGCACAAUGGGCGCAAGCCUGAUGCAGCGACGCCGCGUGGGGGAUGACGGCCUUCGGGUUGUAAACUCCUUUCGCUAGGGACGAAGCGUUUUUGUGACGGUACCUGGAGAAGAAGCACCGGCUAACUACGUG